RNAcentral lists this ribosomal RNA (568 nucleotides) under uncultured bacterium. RNAcentral's name for it is "bacterial SSU rRNA". It matches the Rfam family "Bacterial small subunit ribosomal RNA", at positions 348 to 916 of the family's 1533-position model. The record is from RNAcentral.
GCAGCAGUAAGGAAUAUUGGUCAAUGGGCGCAAGCCUGAACCAGCCAUGCCGCGUGCAGGAUGACUGCCCUAUGGGUUGUAAACUGCUUUUGUCGGGGAAUAAACCCACCUACGAGUAGGUGGCUGAACGUACCCGAAAAAUAAGGAUCGGCUAACUCCGUGCCAGCAGCCGCGGUAAUACGGAGGAUCCAAGCGUUAUCCGGAUUUAUUGGGUUUAAAGGGUGCGUAGGCGGUCUUUUAAGUCAGGGGUGAAAUACGGCAGCUCAACUGUCGCAGUGCCCUUGAUACUGAAGGACUUGAAUAUGGUUGAGGUAUGCGGAAUGAGACAAGUAGCGGUGAAAUGCAUAGAUAUGUCUCAGAACACCGAUUGCGAAGGCAGCAUCCCAAGCCAUCAUUGACGCUGAUGCACGAAAGCGUGGGGAUCGAACAGGAUUAGAUACCCUGGUAGUCCACGCCCUAAACGAUGAUAACUCGAUGUUGGCGAUAGACAGUCAGCGUCCAAGCGAAAGCGUUAAGUUAUCCACCUGGGGAGUACGCCCGCAAGGGUGAAACUCAAAGGAAUUGACGG